CCACCAUUGAGAUGAGACAUGAGAGCAUGGGACAGAGUGAGAAUGAGGGUGUCAUGAAAACCAUAAUUUUCUUUUGUGACUUUGUGUUUCAGUUUCCAGUUUUAUAGUUGUUUUUUUGUUUCAGUUAUAGUACACUAUUAUUUCCAUAUCUGCCCAUUGCUUGUCUUCUUCCCUGUGAUCCUGCAGGGAGCUGAGCUAGCUAGGUUUGUUCGGAAGCCCUUGCAAUCUGUGAUUUUGCUUUGUAAGCCACACAGAACCAAAUAAAAACCAGUACGAAUUUCUGGGUUUUCACAACCUUUCUAGUUAAUUUCUUCCCCUCCCUGGUUUUGUAGGGUUUGGUAUGUAGGUUACCAUUUAUAUAUAUUCACAUAUGGUUUCUCAAAAAGUUUAAAAGUGAUUCUUGAAAUGGAAGACUACUAUGGCUGGGGGAACAGAAACAGAGGAAAGAUGACAGCAGAAAAUGAAGAGUUUCAGGAAGAAGAAGUGUGGGCUGUUAAUAAUACUGAAAGGGAAACCUCACCAUCAAAGGUGAUGAUGAGGAAAUCUUCUUCUUCUUGGCAGUUGCCGGUGGCUCCGAGAACAACGGGCCAUGAACGGAGGUGCAGGGCGGAGCAGUCGUCAGCUCCGGUGAGUGUUCCUGACUGGUCCAAGAUUUACUGCAGGAAAAAUAAUGGCUCCAAUAUGAAAGGAGAUAAUAAUAGUGAAGGUGGGGAGGGAGGAGAUGAAGAAGAUGAUGAUGAUAAUGGGGUGGUCCCACCGCACGAGUACAUAGCUAGGAGGCUUGCAAGAACUCAGAUUGCAUCUUUCUCCAUGUGUGAAGGUGUGGGGAGGACCCUGAAAGGAAGAGACCUCAGCAAAUUGAGAAAUGCCAUCCUCACCAAGACCGGCUUCCUCGAAAAAUAGCAUGUGUCCCACAUUGAUUACGGAUGCAAACCCAGACAGAUUUAUAAGGUUCGGGUCAAAUUAGUGCAAGGGUUCUUAGUCUUUCUUUAUUAUUCAAUGCCAUCCCGGCCCAGAAACCAGAUAAGUCCUAGACCAUAUCAUGUGGCCAUUUUUGAGCUGUUUUCUCAGGAGAGAAAAACCAAACCUACGGCGUAUUAUGUAGAGCACUAUGUGAGGUUUUUUGUCUGUUGUGUUUGUGUCUUAAUGGUUGUUCGUUCCUCUAUCUGCUUUCUUGAUUAUAUUUUGGAGUUAUCCACUCCCAUUUUCAUUGUUG
RNA transcript from Ipomoea triloba (trilobed morning glory), 1216 nucleotides. RefSeq lists it as uncharacterized. The transcript is spliced from 2 exons. The record is from RefSeq and is a predicted model, not a curated record. NCBI's taxonomy places the organism in Eukaryota, Viridiplantae, Streptophyta, Magnoliopsida, Solanales, Convolvulaceae.